Alligator sinensis (Chinese alligator) is the source of this 295-nucleotide long non-coding RNA. RefSeq lists it as uncharacterized. Lineage: Eukaryota; Metazoa; Chordata; Crocodylia; Alligatoridae. The transcript has 3 exons. The record is from RefSeq and is a predicted model, not a curated record.
AGAGCGCUUAUCAGGUGGGGAAGCCCCAGGCCAUUUUACCACAAUAAGUGAUCACACACACCACUCCCGAAGAAGAGCGGGGGCCUGGGCAGAGACCUCUAAAAGCACAAGCAAAAAAACCCCCAAACCCCGAAAUGCACAGCCUGCAGAUCAUAACACCCAAGGAUGGAAGACCGACGGGACAGAACAGAAGGGUACGAUCCCUCAGAGGAAAACAAGGCACAUACCUCUGCGAGAGUCAGGUGUAAAAAGACUAGGAUGCACACCCCCAAAACAGUGCAACAGAUGUGGAAGG